GAUGAACGCUGGCGGCGUGCCUAAUACAUGCAAGUCGAGCGAACAGAUGAGGAGCUUGCUCAACUGACGUUAGCGGCGGGCGGGUGAGUAACACGUGGGUAACCUACCUAUCAGACUCGGAUAACUACGGGAAACCGGAGCUAAUACAGGCUAAUAUAUUGCAACGCAUGGUUCAAGAGUGAAAGGCGGGUUUUGUGGCACUUAGAGGUGGAUCCGCGCCGCAUUAGCUAGUUGGUAAGGUAACGGCUUACCAAGGCAACGAUGCGUAGCCGACCUGAGAGGGUGAUCGGCCACACUGGAACUGAGACACGGUCCAGACUCCUACGGGAGGCAGCAGUAGGGAAUCUUCCGCAAUGGGCGAAAGCCUGACGGAGCAACGCCGCGUGAGGGAUGAAGUUAUUCGGAUCGUAAAAGUCUGUUAUUAGGGAAGAACAAAUGUGUAAGUAACUAGGCACUUCUUGACGGUACCGAAUCAGAAAGCCACGGCUAACUACGUG
This 497-nucleotide ribosomal RNA is filed under the name uncultured bacterium. RNAcentral's name for it is "partial 16S ribosomal RNA". It matches the Rfam family "Bacterial small subunit ribosomal RNA", at positions 28 to 507 of the family's 1533-position model. The record is from RNAcentral.